GGCGAGUGAAGCGGCAAAAGCUCAAAUUUGAAAUCUGGUACCUUCGGUGCCCGAGUUGUAAUUUGGAGAGGGCAACUUUGGGGCCGUUCCUUGUCUAUGUUCCUUGGAACAGGACGUCAUAGAGGGUGAGAAUCCCGUGUGGCGAGGAGUGCGGUUCUUUGUAAAGUGCCUUCGAAGAGUCGAGUUGUUUGGGAAUGCAGCUCUAAGUGGGUGGUAAAUUCCAUCUAAAGCUAAAUAUUGGCGAGAGACCGAUAGCGAACAAGUACAGUGAUGGAAAGAUGAAAAGAACUUUGAAAAGAGAGUGAAAAAGUACGUGAAAUUGUUGAAAGGGAAGGGCAUUUGAUCAGACAUGGUGUUUUGUGCCCUCUGCUCCUUGUGGGUAGGGGAAUCUCGCAUUUCACUGGGCCAGCAUCAGUUUUGGUGGCAGGAUAAAUCCAUAGGAAUGUAGCUUGCCUCGGUAAGUAUUAUAGCCUGUGGGAAUACUGCCAGCUGGGACUGAGGACUGCGACGUAAGUCAAGGAUGCUGGCAUAAUGGUUAUAUGCCGCCCGUCUUGAACCACGGA
RNAcentral lists this ribosomal RNA (563 nucleotides) under Saccharomyces cerevisiae (brewer's yeast). RNAcentral describes it as "partial large subunit ribosomal RNA". It matches the Rfam family "Eukaryotic large subunit ribosomal RNA", at positions 88 to 665 of the family's 3401-position model. The record is from RNAcentral. Lineage: Eukaryota; Fungi; Ascomycota; Saccharomycetes; Saccharomycetales; Saccharomycetaceae.